This 485-nucleotide ribosomal RNA is filed under the name uncultured bacterium. RNAcentral's name for it is "bacterial SSU rRNA". It matches the Rfam family "Bacterial small subunit ribosomal RNA", at positions 501 to 989 of the family's 1533-position model. The record is from RNAcentral.
CUACGUGCCAGCAGCCGCGGUAAUACGGAAGGUCCAGGCGUUAUCCGGAUUUAUUGGGUUUAAAGGGAGCGUAGGCGGAUUGUUAAGUCAGCGGUUAAAGGGUGUGGCUCAACCAUACAUUGCCGUUGAAACUGGCGAUCUUGAGUGCAGACAGGGAUGCCGGAAUUCGUGGUGUAGCGGUGAAAUGCUUAGAUAUCACGAAGAACUCCGAUCGCGAAGGCAGGUGUCCGGGCUGCAACUGACGCUGAGGCUCGAAAGUGUGGGUAUCAAACAGGAUUAGAUACCCUGGUAGUCCACACAGUAAACGAUGUAUACUCGCGGUUUGCGAUAGAGUGUAAGCCGCCAAGCGAAAGCAUUAAGUAUACCACCUGGGGAGUACGCCGGCAACGGUGAAACUCAAAGGAAUUGACGGGGGCCCGCACAAGCGGUGGAGCAUGUGGUUUAAUUCGAAGCAACGCGAAGAACCUUACCAGGUCUUGACAUCC